GAGAGAGAGAGAGAGAGAGAGAGAGAGAGAUGAACCAAAGAGACGCGUAACCGAUUGCUUCGUCCUCUCAUUUUUUUGACACAUGUCACUAAGAGGCGGGCCUUCGACUCCUCCCGCAAGAGUUGAGUCUUAGGCUUAUGUGUUUUGUUAAUUGUUUUUUAAUUGGGUUUGGGGGUAAGAGUUGGGCUUAGAGCCAGCGUUAAUGCUGCUCUUA
RNAcentral lists this long non-coding RNA (214 nucleotides) under Brassica napus (rape). Its description in RNAcentral is "long non-coding RNA (BNAP_LNC017414)". Lineage: Eukaryota; Viridiplantae; Streptophyta; Magnoliopsida; Brassicales; Brassicaceae. The record is from RNAcentral.